GAAUGUAGAACGCAUGAGAACAAGCGGCGAGGGAGGAGGUGGGAAAGAAAGAUAGCUCUGCCAGUUUGAAAAGCUCAUGGGCACCUCUGAAUCUUUACACUCUGCCUACCUCUCUAAAUAGACUGGAAGGGCCUCGAGGGGAGGCACCCUUGACAGGAAGGUGCUGCCUUGUCCUUGCCUCACAGCUCCGGGCCCAGGGCAUGUGCGCAGUAACCAAAGGAGGAGCCCAGACCUGGCUGGGCUGGGAGGCAGGGCCACCUGGAGCCAGGACGGAUCCUACCGUGUGAAGUUUGAAAGGAAGCAUCUUGCAGCUCCGUCUAAUUACAGGAACAGAAGAAACUGCAGCUCAGAGAAUGACUGGCCAGGGUCUGCCAGCUGAUGGAGACCGGGGAGAAAGAAGGCAACAUUCUAUGAGACACCAACAGAGACGGUAAAGGAUGCCCCAUCGCCACUAGCACUCCCUUUUUCUGUGGGGGUCUCGCCUCAGUGGAGGCCAGGACUGUGUUUAAACUGCAGCAGGAUGAAUUUGAGUUAGACUUUAGAUGUGAUCCCAGAAUUGGUGGUAGAAUGGAUUGCAGAAAUCUGAAACCUGGAGACCUCAAGACCAGGAGAGUGAGUAUCUGCUUGAGGCUCGGAGUAAAUCCUGCUGAGAAGCCUGUCUGGGAUUCUGUUCCACGCAGAGGUUGGAAAGAGCAGCGCGGCUGCCUCUGGAAAUCUUGUUUCCCCUGCCACAUGACAUCAGUGGGUUAUAUUGCAACUUUCCACAUGGCUGCCCAGACACAGACAGUUGUGUUUAUGAAAAUCCUCCUGAUACCAGCUUGGAGCCUCCCUGGCACUCAAGGCUCCUUCUCAGGCUGCGAUGUGUUCUGCUUAGAGGAGCAGCUGACAAAGGGCAGGUUGGAAGGUCAGGUUCCCUGCCAGGUGCUCAAUGGGGGUGAGGGGGGACGCAAAUCUAAAAUCAGACAGAACAAGGCAAGGAAGAUGUGGCUUCAAGGCGGUAGCCAAUCGAUCAUUCGGCAAACUUUAUUGAGUAUGUACGGGAGCCAGGAGCCGUGCUAAGCCCGGUGGGGUUGAAGAAACCACGCGCUCUGAUCUCCAGGAGCUUACGGGGUGACUGGAAGCUCCAGGAGGCCAGGGACUGAAUGCUUAUCUUGGUUGCUGCUUUGCUCCUGGAUCCAACACAUAGUCCAAUCAUGUGCCUCAUGACUACAUUUCCGUCAAUGACGAACCGCGUAUGUGGUGAUGCUCCCAUAAGAUUAGUACCAUAUAGCCUAGGUGUGUAGAAGGCUAUGCCACCCAAGUUUGUGAAGAUUAGCCCUGAGCUAACUGCUGCCAAUCCUCCUCUUUUUGCUGAAGAAGACUGGCCCUGAGCCAACAUCUGUGCCCAUCUUCCUCUACUUUGUAUGUGGGACACCUACCACAGCAUGGCUUGCCAAGUGGUGCCACAUCCACACCCGGGAUCCGAAUCAGCAAACCCCAGGCUGCCGAAGCGGAACGUGCGCACUUAACUUCUGCCCCACUGGGCCAACCCCCAGUUGUUUGUAAUAUGCCUUUAUUAUUCAUUGAUAUAUGUGGAAUCUGUAUGGUUGCCAUGUCUCUCGUUACUUAUAUUGGUAAUUUGUGUCUUCUCUCUGUUUUUGCUGAUCAGCCUGGCUAAAAGUUUGUCAAUCCUAUCGAUAUUCUCAAAGAACUAACUUUUGAUUUCAUUGAUUUUUCUCUAUUGUUUUCUAUUUCAUUGAUUUCUGUUCUAAUCUUUAUUAGUAUCAGAACACUUUACUUUGCGCUUAAUUUGCUCUUUGUUUUCAAGCUUCUUAAGGCAGAAGCUUAGGUCUUUGAUUUGAUGCUUUAGUCUUUUCUUCUUUUCUAAUAUGGGCGUCUAGUGUUCUGAGUCCUCCUCCCCGUCAUUCUACCAGCCUAGUACUGCUUGAGCGACUUCCCACAAUUUUGAUUAGGUUGUGCUUCAUUAUUACUCAGUUCAAAAUACUUCCUAAUUUUCUUUUUGAUUUCUUCUGUGAUCCAGGGGUUAUUUAAAAGUGUGUUAUUUUGUUUCCAAAUAUUUGUGAGUUUUCCAGGGAUGUCGCUGUUAUUAAUCUCUAAUGUAAUCCAAUUCAAUUGAGAAAAUAUAUGUCAUGUGACUUGAGCUCUGUACAUUUAGUGAGACUUGUUUGUGAUACAGAAUAUGUUCCAUCUUGUGAAACGUUCUUUGUGCACUUGAACAAAUUUGCAUUCUGCUAUUGUUGGCUGGAGUGUUCUAUAGUGUCAAUUAGGUCAAUUUGUUUGAUAGCACUGUUGAAGUCUUCUAUCUCUGUAAUGAUUUUCUGUCUACUUGUUCUAUCAAUUACUGAGAAAGGAGUAUUUUUGGUCUCUAACUAUAAUUGUGGAUUUGCUCAUUUUUCCUUGUAGUUCUGUCAGUUUUUGCUUUAUGUCAUUAGAAGCUCUGUUAUUAGGUACAAAAAUAUUUAGGAUGGUUAUGUCCUCUUGAUGAGUUGACUCCCUUUUCAUUAUGAAAUAACCUUUUAAAAAAAUACCUAGUAAUAUUCUUUGAACUGAAAUCUGCUUUGCAUGACAUCAAUAUAGCCACUCAAACUUUCUUUUUUAUAGCUUUAUUGAGAUAUAAGUUAAACAGCAUAAAUUCACCCAAGUGUAUAAUUCCACAAUUUUUAGCAUAUUUACAGAGUUAUGCAACCACCACCACAAUCUAAUUUUUAGGACAUUUUCAUUACCCCCAAAAGAAGCUUCAAAUUCAUUAGCAAUUACUCUCAUUCACUCUCUUCCUUUAGCUUUAGGCAACCAUUUUCAACUUUUAUAUAUUUGCCUGUUCUGGACAUUUCGUAUAAAUGGAAUCAAAGAAUGUAUGGUCUUUGUAUUUCGGGUUUUAAAAAUUACUUUUAAUUAAAAUUUUUAUUUUGAAACAAUUGUAGAUUCACAUGCAGUUAUAAGAAAUAGUACAGAGAAAGCACAUCCCCCAAUGGUAACAUUUUGCAAAAUGGUAGUACAGUAUCACAAUCGAGAUAUGCACAUUGAUCCAAUCAAGAUACAGAACAUUUCUAUCACCACAAGGAUCCUUCCUGUUGCCCUUUUAUAGCCGUCCCCAUCUCCCAGCCAUCCCCUCCUUAACUUUUGGCAACCACUUGUCCAUUCUCCAUUUCUAUAAUUUUGUCAUUUCAAGAAUGUUAUAUGAAUGGAAUCAUGCAGUAUGUAAACUUUUGGGAUUGGGUUUUUUCACUCACCAUAAUUCUUUGCAGAUGGCUGUAGGUUGUUGCAUGUAGGAAUAAAUUUGUUCCUUUUUAUGGCUAAGUAAUAUUCCAUGGUGUGGAUGCACUACACUUGUUUAACCAUUCAUCCAUUGAAACACAUCUUGGUUGUUUCCACUUUUUGACUAUUAUGAAUAAAAUUGCUAUAAACAUUCAUGUGCAGGUUUUUAUGUGAACAUAAGUCUUCAUUUCUCUGGGAUAAAUGCCCAGGAGUGCAAUUACUGGGUUAUAUGGUAGUUCCAAGUUUAGUUUUUCAAGAAACCACCAAAAAGUUUUCUAGAGUGUCUAUAUGGUUUGCCAUUAUCACUAGCAAUGUACAGUGAUACAGUUUCUCCACAUCCUCACCAGCAUUUGAUGUUGCCAUUAUUUUUCUUUAUUUUAGCCAGUUUGACGUAUGUGUAGUGAUAUCUCACUGUAGUUUUAAUUUGCAUUUCCUUAAAGGCUAAGGAUGUUGGAUAUCUUUUUAUGUGCUUAUUUUCCGCCUAUAUAUCCUCAUUGGUAAAAUGUCUCUGCAUGUCUUUUGCUCAUUUUCUAAUUGCAUUGUUUCUUAACUGUUGUCAGCUGAGGGUUCUUUAUAUAUUGUAGAUAUAGUUCUUUGUUAGACAUGUGGUUUGCAAACAUUUUUUCUCACUCUGUAGCUUAUCUUUUCAACCUUUCACAAGGUCUUUUACAGAGCAAAAGUUUUUAAUUUUAAUGAAGUUUAACCUAUCAAAUUUUGCUUUUGCAAUCUUGCUUUGGCAUCAAGUCUAAAAACUCUUUGCCUAGCCCUCGGUUUUCUCCUAUUUUUUUCUAAAUGUUUUAUAGUCUUACAUUUAAGUUUGUGAUCCAUUUUGAGUUACUUUUUGUAUAAGCUAUGAGAGAUUUAGGUUGAGGCUCUUUUUGUUUUUUUUUUGUUUUUUUUUUUGCCUAUAGGUGUCCAAUUGCUCCAGUACCAGACGUUGAAAAGGCUAUUUUUCCACCAUUGAAUUGCUUUUGCAACUUUGUCAUAAAUCACUUUGGCAUAUUUAUGUGGGUCUAUUUCUGGAUUCUCUAUUCUAUUCCAUUCAUCUUUGUGUCUAUUCCUUUGCCAGUAUCACACAGUCUUGAUUACUGUAGCUAUCUAAGUCUUAAAAUCAAGUAGACUGAUUCCUCCCACUUUAUUUGUCUUUUUCAAAGUUGUUUUAGUUAUUUUAAUUCCUUUGUCUUUCUAAAUAAAUUUUAGAAUAAUCAUCCAUAUAUACAAAAAAUUUGGCUGGGAUUUUGAUAGCAGUUCCAUUAAUUGGGGGAGAAUUAACACCUUUACUCAUCUUUAUUGAGUCUUGCAAUUCACCAAC
This is a long non-coding RNA of Equus caballus (horse), 4567 nucleotides long. The record is from Ensembl. Lineage: Eukaryota; Metazoa; Chordata; Mammalia; Perissodactyla; Equidae.